AACUUCAAAUACCCCAUAUAGUUUCGUAUUUUUUGACUUUUCUACUUGUGGUUUAAAGUAUAUUAAGUUAAUACCCUAUAAUUUCACACUUUCUUAUUUUAGUAUCAUGUUGUUUCAAGUGUAUCAAGUUAGUAUCCUGUGAUUUUAAUUUUUUUUCUUUUAUUAUCCAUUUCGGGACAUAUAAUUUAACGAAAUAUUAAACCACAGAGUACUAAAGUGAGAAAGUGCGAAAUCACAGAAUACUAACUUGAUACACUUGAAACCAAAGGGUACUAAAGUGAGAAAGUGUGAAAUUAUAGGGUAUUAACUUGAUACACUUUAAACCAGAGGGUAUUAAAAUGAGAAAGUGCGAAACUACAGGGGGUAUUUAAAGUUUUUCUAUAUAUAUAUAUAUAUAUAUAUAUAUAUAUAUAUAUAUAUAUAUAUAUAUAUAUAUAUAUUUAUCACUAUAGAUGUAGCAAAGUAAUUAUAUAUGCGAUAUGAUUGUAUAGUCUCCAUCUGCGGUGAGGAUGAUAUAUAGAAACAAUGUUAGUCCCAAGUAAACAACGCACAUCUAUUCUUACCGACCGUUAUUCUUACCGACCGUCUCUAGAGCAGGUGGCAAAGGACUUGUUGGUUGGUACUCGAGACCCAAGUUCGAAUCCUAGUUGAUUCGCAUUUCCAGCUAAGUUUAUUUCUAAAUGAAAUAAACGAAACGGAUAGCGUGCUACCUAUCUCUUUCAGAAAAAAAAAAAAAAUUCUAUUCUUAGAAGUUGUUUAUUUUCCGAGCAAGUCAUUGUGGUUGGAGGAAUUAACUUAAUUGAUUAUGUACAACUUAAAGUUUUAAAAAGAUUAUAACUUGCUAAUCGAAAUGAUUAAAAUAAAAAAGAAUCACUAAUUGUAUCUAACACAACUGGCUAAGAAUUUAAGAGAAGAGGGUUCGUGCCUCGCAUGUUGGACCAGGUUCAUGCAAUAAUUCAAAUUGUAAAGAAUAUAUUAUGAAGAUAAAUAAGUAAUGAAGAGUUUCCUUUAAAUUAAUUAAGUGACCAAACACUUUCUAAUUUAUUUAGUUUAGUUAAAUCCAAAAUGGGCUCACCUGGUCGAAUCUAUUCUCGUGUUCUAUGAACCAAUCCACUUUCGUAACGUAUCCAUAAAAAUAUUAAUCCUAGAUGAGGUGAAACCUCUUAUAAUAAAAUGCUGUAGAAUCUAUGCAAACUAUGUUGGAGAUCUGCGCCGAGUUAUAUAAAUAUACUAAGAAGGAUUAUAUUUACAUUUUUGGGCAAAGUGUAACAGCUUCGAUCAGGUGGACAACUGGGAGAAGAGGGGGACCGGGAAUUAAGUGGGGUUAAUGGAAUAAUUGGGGUUCUUCCAAAUGCAUUUGUUUUUAUUUUUUGUUUAUUAUUAUUAUUAUUAUUAUUAUUAUUAUUUUUUUUUUUUUUCUCUUUGUCCACCCACCCACAUAUAAAACAUAUUCCCCAUAGAGAAAAGUGGUGGGAGUUGCCUUACAUUUAGGCCAUGUUUGGAUGCAUAGUUAAAAAAUUCCGUGAAAUUUUUAUUCUAUGGUUUUGAUCUAAAUGAAAUACGAAAUUCUGUAACUACAAAAAAAUUCCACAGCUUCAUUUUUAAGCUGUUUGGAUACAGAUCAUACAAUUCCACAGUAUUUAUAACAAUUAAAUAUCUAAAAUUUUAAAAUUUAAAAUUCAAAAUUCAAAAUUUAAAAAUAAAAUUUUUAAAAAUUAAAAUUCAAAAUUCAAAAUAUAAAAUUAAAUUUUAAAAUUUAAAAUUAAAAAGUAAAUUAGAUUUUAUGUUUUAAAUUUGAAAUUUGAAAUUUGGAAUUUGAAAUUUAAAAUUUAAAAUUUGAAACUUUAAAUUUUAAAAUUUAAAGUAUACCAUUUAAACUUUAAAAUUUGAAAUUUAAAAAAUAUAUAAUUAAAAUUUUAAAUUUUAAAUUUAAUAAUUUAUAAAUUUACAUAUUUAUAAAUUUAAAAUUUAAAAUUUAAGUUUAAAUUAAAAUUUUAAAAAUUGAAAAUUAAAAAUUAAAAAUUAAAUUAAAAUUUGAAAUUUGGAAAUUUGAACUUUUUGAAGUUUGAAAUUUGAAAGUUAAAAUUUGAACUUUUUGAAAUUGAAAUUUGAAAGUUGAAUUUGAAAGUUGAAUUGGAAAGAUGAAAUUUUAAAUUUUUAAUUUUAAAUUUUAAAUUUAAAACGUUUUUGAAAUUUGAAAUUUCAAAUUUGAAAUUUGAAAGUUGAAAUUUGAAAUUUAAAGUUUGAAAUUUGAAAUUUGAACUUUUUGAAAUUUGAAAUUUGAAAUUUGAAAUUUGAAAGUUGAAAUUUGAAAUUUGAAAUUUGAAUUUGAUAUUUGAACUUUUUAAAAUUUAAAAUUUAAAAUUUAAAAUUUGAAAUUUAAAAUCAAAAUUAAAAUUGAAUUUUAGAAAUUUAAAAUUUAGAAAUUGAUACAUCUUUGGGAGCCUAAAAUGGUGGAAUUUUUUUUUUUGGUUAAAGUGGAUUGUAAGUUUACUCCAUUUUUUGGAGUAUAGUAUAACUAUACUCCAAAAAUUACGUUAUUUUUUUUUUCUUCCAAACGCUUCAUAGGAUUAUUUUCCUACUAGCGUAGCAUAGUUUAACUAUGCUACGUUUUUAGAGAUAUCCAAACGGGGCCUUAGGGUGCAUUUGAUUCGCGCUAUUUUUUAAAGAUUUCUAAUAAUCCAAUAGAAAUAAAAAAAUAUGACGGUGUUUGGCUAAACGCAGUAAGUAGUCUAGUUGGUAAUAUUGGAUUCACUUGAAAUAAGAUUCAUCCCAAAGUACUAAUCUCAUUCCUUGAGGAAUGGUGGGUAUCUUCAUAUUAAUAGAUUAGAAUAAUCAAUCAUAAUAUGUCUACUCUCUUUCUUUCUCCCUACCCGCCGGCUAAUUGAUAUCAUUUUUCUUUACACUCUAACCUCGUAUCUUUUUCUAAACUUAUCUUUCUCUCUAAAAUUCAACUUUUUUUUUCUCUCUCUAAACUAAGCUUUCUCUCUCUCUCUUUCUAGAAUCUCAACUCUCUUACUUUCUCUAAUUUCGACACUAUUUCUCUUUCUAUUUUUUUAAUUAUGCUCCCUCUUCCUUUUUUUCUAAAAAGAUGUUGAAACUUUUGGUAGCAUUAUCUAAAAUUAAUUAAAAAAAAUAAAUAAAUAGUAUAUUUUUUGUAAUAUUAAAUAACAUGGCUAAAUAAUAUUACCGUGCGAACCAAACACAGGAAUUUCACAUUCUUAGUAAUAGAAUGAAUAGGAAUAAGAUUCUCGGACAUCUUUUCAUUCCUAGUAAUAUUUCAUAAUGCGAACCACCCUUAAGGCAUUAAAAGAAAAGGGUAAUGUUCUAUACUAUAUAAGAUAGAGUGUAAUAUAUAAGAUAGAGUGGUGUAAUAUAUAAGAUAGAGUGGAAUUGGGUGAUCAAGUGGUUAUUCUAAAAGUAAAAGGGUGAAUUGUGGGAAUAGUCCUUUGUACCAUUCCUAUAUUGCAACUUGAUCUCUCUACUUUUUGCACAAGUACUUGAGUCUAGAAUAUUACAAGAAAAAUAUUUUUUUUUCAUUUAUUUUAGCUGCUUUAGUUUAAAGUUUAAACAUGAUUAAAUAUUCUGUUAGAAACUAAAGGUGCAACACACGAAAAAGUUUAGAAACAAAAAUAUUUAAUUAAAAGUAUAGAGACCAGGUUUCUCUGUGGGGAUAACACAAGGACCAUGCAUACAUUUUACCCAAUAAAAAAUGGUGAAGGGAGUUUGGUGUUAUAUAUAUAUAUAUAUAUAUAUAUAUAUAUAUAUAUAUAUAUAUAUAUAUAUAUAUAUAUAUAUAUAUAUAUAUAUAUAUAUAUAUAUAUGAGUGUCUCCCUCUAAAACAUCACCACUUGCCGUGGAUGGGGAAGCCAUGGGAUUAAUUUAGAUCUUUAAUCUAGAUAAGUUGGGAAUUAGGGGACUAAACCUCUCUUCACAUGCUAAUUUUUUAUUUGAUCCUUUUACUAAUCCCAGUUAAGUUAAGAUGUUGUAAUCACAGCCCCUCUCAAAAGAGACAGCUACACAUGUAGCUGGUUUUGCUUACCUCCUACUAGCUCCAAAUUAAGUUACCUUUGCAAGUGGAUGUUUAGUAUAUUAUGUUGAUUGUAUCUAUGAAAAUGAUCAUGUGGUAACAUAUUUGGAGCUAGGCUCCUACACUUUGAAAAGUUCGAAGGCCUCCACACUUAUAAAUUAUUUUUAAUGAUAUGACAUUCAAUUCAUGAUUGGUUUCGUUAAACAUGAUCUAUACUAUUAAAAUCAUUUGAAAACCAAAUUUCAUACUUUUUUAUUUCAUUUGCUUAUUAGUGAACAAGUUGUCUCAAAAUGAACAGUUGAAAAUAAAAAUUUCAUAAAAAUAAUGAUAAAAGACUCAAAUUUCGAAUCAGAAAUAUUAAUCUUGUUCUUGAUAUUAAAUAGAAUUUUCUAUUAAAGUUUCAUACAAUUUGAAUUAUUCUACACCGUUGAACUUACAAAUGUAUCACAUCGGUCAUUAAAAUAGUUAUUUUUUAGACUAUUUGAUCACUUUGUAAAUGAUGUCGAAAAAUUAUAAAAUUUUGGUUUCUAAAUAGCUCUAAUAAUAUAAUAUAGAUUAUAUUUAACAGAUCGCUAAAUCGGAUGUUCCAUCAUCGAAAAUAACUUACAAGUAUGAAAGCCUCCAUAUUUUUGAAAACGUAGGAGACGUGCUCACAUAUUUGAUAUGCAAAUGAUGGGAAGCACUUGGGUGCACUCUUAUUAAUUAAAAAAAAAAAGGAAAAAAAAAAUGUCUCAUGUGUUUGCCUAAAUUUGGUAAAGAGACUCAUGGAACUCAAUCACUACUAGCUACAAAUACACAUAAUUGCAACCAACCCUAAGAAAAAGUUUGGAGUUGUACAGCUAAGCAGGUGAUUGUGGGACACUCACAUGUUGGGAGAAUAAGCUGUUAUAUAUAUAUAUAUAUAUGUAGAACACACUUUGUGGUAGCUUGUAUAGACUUAGUCAGGUUAUAUUAUGUCUCUCUUACGCUUUUGUCUUUUUGUUUAGUUCCUUAGUAAAAGGUGGCAAUUAAUGGUUGGUAACCAACCCUAAUCUUUCUUUGGUUAGUAUUUGAUUGCUUCAUUAAAAUAAUUACAGCACAAAAACACCACAGAAAUCGGUAAAUUAAUUCCAAAUAGAAGUAGCCCAUAAUUAAUUGAUUUGGGAGGGCUGUGUGAGAUCAUCAGAUUUGUCUUUGCCACUGGUCUAAAUUUAAUACAAUCCUAAGCUCGGUCACAAGCCUCCUCUCUUGUUUUCUUUUAAUUAUAUAAAUAAAUAUUACACCUCGGACAAUGAACUUGAUUGGAUUCAUCUGAUCUCCAUCAUGCACUUACAUAGGGGUGUAAAGACUAUUUUCUGAUCAGUCGUUCGUCAAAUUAUUGAUCUUUUUAAUAACCACAUGUUGUUCCAUUUGAUCGAAGGGUUCUGUUGUUUACUUGUUGGAAUGAUUAAUUGUCCACAGGAUCCAAAACCCUUGUGCCCUUCAUAUGCACCCAGGAGGCACGCAGGGAGAGUUAUCAUCAUUAGAUGAGUGAAAGCUUCAUGAGGGUGCAAACAAAGCCCUCAAGACAGGCUGACAGCUGACCUGAACAUAAAUGGAUUGGUCUGCUAAUUAUUGCUAAGAACAACCCCUGAUGAUUGGUUUGCUGUUAAUCCUUCUUCCUGAAAAUUUUCAGGUACUGGAACCCUAAAAAGAGAUGAAGUUUGAACUAAUCCACACCUUCAUUGGUAAUAAUUAUCCCCCUCUAAAAAACAUUGGGACCGGGCGGCCGUCACUGAAUUCAAAGUACUUUAAUUGGUUAUUUCACAUGGUAUCAAAAUCUGUAGGAGAUUCUGAAUUCAAAUUUUACCAAACUCCUGGCCUCAUUUAAUUAAUUUUCUCUAUUUACUAGAUCAUGUCCACAUCUGUCAAAUUAAAUUAGAGAAAUGGUUCGGUACUUUAUUUUAUAAAAAAUAAAAAAGAUUUUGAUCGUUGAUUAAUGAAGGUUAAAAAUAUCAUUUUAGUAUGAAGCAGGUUAGAAGAUUAUUUCAUGUGAGGGUAUUUUUAUAAUUAAACUAGACAAAAUUUUAAGAAAGUUUGAUUAAUAUCCCAAAUUUAGCAUUAAUUUUGUAACUAAUUUAAGCAUUAAUUUAAGAUUUGAUUGAUAUCCUAAAUUUUAGGCAUUAAUUUUAGGAAUUUUAGAAUUCGUCUAAUUUAGGCAUUAAUUUAACUUGUUGAAAUUUUAGAAAUAGUAAUAAAUACCUUGAGUUUAAAUAUUUAAUAUUUAAAUUUAAAUUUAAAAAAGAGAAAUUUUGUGUUACUAUUUUAACAAAUUUAAUGUUGAUAAUAACGAAUUCAACAUAUUUAAUUUGUUUAAGAAACUUUUAAAUUCCUCUAGUUUAGAUAUUAAUUUUUUAUCACAAACUUUAAAAAAGUUUGAAUGUAGGUAAAAAAAAUAAAAAAAUUAGAUUCAACAUAUAUAUUUAAUAUGUUGUAAUAUUUCUAAUGAAAUAUAUGUAGGUUACGGAUAUGAAAUGACAAAAUAUCUCUGGAUUACAGAUGUCAAUGGAUACAAAUACCCAUAAUUUUAUCCGAAUCCGAAUCCAAACCCGAAAGCAAAUGCAAUGAAUUUAUCUAUGCUAGAUGGAUAUAGUUUUGGAUAUGGAUAUCAAAAAUGAAAUCCGAUAGAUUUAAAUUCGGAUAUGGAUUUUGACUGUAUCUAAUUCGAACCCGAAACCGACCGUAACCCGAAUUUAUUUUACAUUAUAUAUAAUAUAUAUAAAUGUUUGAUAUUAUAUUUGAAUAUGUAUUUUAAAAAUUUAGAUUUAAUUUAAUAUAUUUUAAAACAUUGUAAAGAGAAAUAAAUGUUUCGGUUUCGGAUUUUCAGGUUCGGAUUAGGGUUUGGGUUUUGGAUCUUUAGUUGGGUAUGGGUUUGGAUAUGAUUUUCUAAAAUUCGUCGAAUUUGGGUUUGGGUUCGGGUUCGGGUUUCGAAUUUGAUAGUUGGGUUCAGGUUCGGAUAUUUGAAAAUCCGCCUCAAAUCCUACCAUUUUUACCCUUUUUACAUCUCUGCCAUGAAUGAAGUGGAAAAAUAGAGAGGAAACAAAAAAGAGAUCGAAUAGAGAUUUAGUUUUUUAUAAUAGAAGUAAAAUUACUAAAUUAUCUAUAUAUUAAAAGAUCAAAAUAUCUCUCUCAAAAUGAUUUGGUAUUGCAUGUCACAAUUUAAAAAAACAUUAAAUUUGAGCCAUUGAUUAAAAAUGAAUAAACGGUAUAAAAAAAUAGUAAGUAUAGAAGCAUUAUUAAACUUUCAGAGCAGUCGAUGAGACGAUGAACCAUAAUGGUGAGGUUUAAAUGGAUAAGUGAGAAGCUAGAAAUUCGAACACCGAUAAAUUAAGGAUCCCUAGUGGUAGGGCAUAAGUGGGGAUCGGGCGAGGGUGUGGAAUUAAUUGAGUCCCAGUUACGAGAUUGGAGAUAUAAAGCGUAAGCCAAGCACUUGAUUUCGAUUCUGAUUUCUCUUUUUUGUAAUAAAAAAAAAAUUUAAAAAAAGAAGCCUUAAUUUCCUUAUCUUGUACUGGUGCCUUUCCUUGAGAACGAGCUCAGUUGAGCCUUACAAGAAGACCCUUAUGAGUUGUCCAAUUAGCCAAUAUGUACCUGAACAAGGGCACCCACAUGGCAACUUGGUGCUUAUUAAAUGCCCAAUGCAUAUGGUUUUAGAUGUUAACAAUGGUAUGCACAUGCCCAGUAGAAUUUCUAAAGAUUGUUAGUUGAUAUAUAAUUAGGUGAUAUAUAAUAAGGUGAUAUAUAAUACUUGUACCCAUCUCCACAUAAUUGGUAUUAGUCCUUAGAGAAAAAAACAUACAUUAGUUAGUUUCUUCUUUCUUGUAAUUAUAUCACUUUUCCAAAUUCAGUUUUUGGUAGCUAACUAGUGUUUUCCAAUACUUCCUAAUUAAGCUUGAAUCCAAUUGAGAGCAACAAACAUUUUCCUUUAUAUGCAUGGUUAACAAUUUUAGAGGCCACUGACCGUCCCUAGAACAAGUGCAAAGGGUUUGACGAUUGGUACCAGAAGUUUUAAGUUCGAAUCCUAGUUGAUUCACAUUUUCAGCUAAGUUUAUUUCUAAAUAAAAUAAACAAAGCGGGUACCGUGCUAUCUAUCUCUCAAAAAAAAAAAAAAAAAAUCUAGAAGCCAAUAUAUGUACUAGAUUUGAAGUUCUUUAAUUAAGACUAUGCUUGAUGCAUGCCUCUCUACUAUACAGCAACGAAAAUUUAUAAAAAAAAAAGGAAGAAAAUCUAAGGCUCUGAUUGCUUUAUACAUGUACUCCUUUACGUGCACGCGCAUCAACUGGUGUCUUCAACGUACAGUUGGGAACAUGCACCACGUAUUAGUUUAACUUAUCCCUAUAUACAUGUUUCUAAUUAGAAUAGCAACAAUGGCUUUGAUUAAUUAGGAGGUGUACUCUUUGUACCUAAGUUGAUCCAAGACAAAUUAAAUCCAAAGAUAAGUGCUACUGAUCAGAGGGUACAGCUUGAAACCACCUGUCUUAACGCAAGUGGAGGAGUACUUAAAUAGAUAUUAGAACAUGGGGAUCGGAAUAUAUAAGCAACUGCUUCUGCUUCUGCUUCUGCUUCUGCUUCAUGUUUAAGCCAAAUACGCCGAGAUCAUACCGAAGCUUGGGACACUUGUAUAUAUGAAAAAUAACUUUGAAGCUUCUGGUUUUGUAUGUAUAACAUGGUUAGAGUAAUUGAGUAGAUGUUUUGGUAACCAAAAGUUGGGCUGUGUAUGUUGUACUGUACAUGGUCCACCAUAAAUUUAGAGCCACAAACUGAGGCUUGAAUUUGUAGCUUAGCAUAUCAAUUUGUUGGGUUGAUUUAGCUUUAUAGUAGUUGACAUCCAUGGACCAGUUAGUGGAUUGUUCCCCAAUGGGCUUGGGUUGGAUAUUAUUGGGGUCCAUGAUUUAUAGCCCAUUUAGUUUGGAUCUGAAAACUGGAGCCCAUAUUUUCCAUUUUGGGCCUAGUGAAUUCGACAAUUUGGACUGGCCCAGUUUCGACAUCGGCUUCUUGAACUUAUCAAACCCAAAAGGUUUUUCUUUUUUUUUAAGAACGGUAACACACUAUCUGCUUUAUUUAUUUUCUUUUAAAAUUAACUUAGCUGAAAAUGUGAAACAACUAGACUUCGAACCUGAGAUUCUGGAUACCAACCACUAAACCUUUUGUCAUUUGCGCUAAAGACGGUCAGAAAAUCCAAAAGCUUAUACCCAUAAAUUUGGAUCCACUAAGUAUAUAUCAGUUGUUUACUUUCUUAUUAAUUAUUUGGUAUAAACCAUUUAGAGGUGAAUUUCUAAUAAUCAUUUUCUUUCAUAAGUAAAAGAACCAACUCUUCCUUAAGCUUUAUCUUCUUCAAACAUUAAUUGCAGCUGAAUCACUUUUGGUUUUUCUCCAAAACAUAUGUACAAGUUAAGAGACGCCGCCUAGUGUUUUUUUUAUCCUCGAAGGCGGGGGAUCGAACCCAUUUCAACCUCGUGAGUUUAGGAUGUGGCAUAUUUAUUACAUAUAAAUAACUCAUUUAUCUUCAGAACUUAAUUUCAUAUGGAACGACUAUUCACAUAAAUUCUUAAAAACACGCUUAUUCAUACUCUAUUAUACCUAUGUUUUCCUACCACGCACCCGCGCAAUUGAAUGUACUCAUGUAUUUUACUUCCAUGUAUCUUUCAUAGUUUCAUAUCGGAAUUCGACCUUGUCUCAAAGAUUUGUGAAAUUCAUAUUCAAGAUCAAACCAGUCAAAUUUUAGAUUUCGCUUCCAUAACAGCGAAUUCAUUCCUCACUUCAAAUAAAAUGUCAUAGGCCGUAGAUACAUUCGCAGCUCCACAAGCCAUACAUAUAUAUAUAUAUAUAUACAUAUAUAUAUAUAUAUAUAUAUAUAUAUAUAUAUAUAGCCUACAUGUAUAUCUCCAUCAAACAAAUCAUGCCAUAGUUUUCAUACAGUAAAGGGAAAUAUACUACAUUGUACAAAAGCCUCCCCACCCCUCCUUCCACGUUACCUUACCUUACAUUCCAACACACUUGGAAGUGAGAAUCUAACCAAGUAGUUAAGAGAGCCGGAAAAAACUAAAACGUGAGAAGAAGAAGAAGAAGAAGAAGAAGAAGAAGAAGAAGAGCAGCAGUUGAUUGGAUUCAUAGGCCGAGGGCGCCGAGCGGGGUCUUGCCCUGGCCGGCCUCGAAGUAGAAGAUGAGCAUGGCGAGCAUGGCGAUGCGGGCGUGCUUGAUCUCCGCGAGCUUCAGCCGCUCCAACUUCUCGGUAUCGGGCACGUAGACUCCGUUCUGCAGCGUCCCCGCGAGGCACAGGGGGUCGAAGAACUUGCCCCCCGGGUAUCCCUGCUCGCCGGUGGCGUUGGCGAAGUUCUCGGCGGUGCGCGACCACGGGGUGGCCCACUCCACGGCCUGGGACUCGGGGUUGAAGAAGUCGACCCAGCGCUUGGACUCGACCCAGCCCAUGAGCAGCAGCUGGGUGCCAAGGAGGGAGCCGAAGGAGAAGGGCGCCACCGCGCCCGGGUCGGCGCCGGCCUCGAACCAGGGGAUGCCGCUCCACGCCUGCCCCACGAAGAUGCCCACCACCGCCGUCAUCGCCCACCGCCCGUGGAUCAGCUCCGCCUCCCGGUACCACUUCAGGAACGCCGGGUCCUUGCCCAGCCCCAGCGGGUCGAACCCGUAGUCGCCGGCAAGCCUUCCAUACAUUGGUCGCGCCAAAAAACAAAACAAAAAAAGAGUUUUACCGCCAAAGUUUAAGUUCUCAUACUUUAUCAUACGACAGAACAAAUGUGUUGAAUAUAAAAAUAAUUAAAAAAAAACCAAAUGUAAUGUUCGCCGAUUUUAAUGAUUUGAAUGACAGCUAUUUUUUUUUAUUAUAAUAAUUUAGUUCUUAGUUCUGCUCCUAAUUUCAUAUUCACAAGUCUUAAUUUCUUCUUUUUUUUCUAUAGUUAUAAAUCUUGGUUUUUUCCCUAAAAUUUUCAAACAUAGAUCGAAUCUCUGUUUCGAUGGACUGCAUUACUAGCAGUAAAAAACUGUUAACUACAGAACCGAAGAGAGAAAGAGAGAUAUUUGAGGGCUUACGAGCCAUCGAGCCAGGGGGGGUUGAUGAAUUCGCUGUCGCUCUUGACAGCAGGGAUCCACGACUUCUUCUGUGCGGCGGCCGCGACGACGAGGAGCCUGCGUGAAUUGCCAGCGGCAGCAGCGGACUUGCUGGCCAUCGCGGCGUUUAGGAGCGACCUCCGCGAGCCGGCGACGAAGGGGCUGGAUAGGCUUUGGAGGACCGCGGCGGAGGUGGAGGCCAUGGCCAUUUUUGUUUUCUCCUCUGUUCUAAGCUCACAAGCACAAAACUCUUCUUUGGUGUGCUUAAAGAUUCAAUGUGCGCGUCCUCCUCCUCCUGCUCCUCCUCCUCCUCCUCUGUGAGUUAUUGGGUGGUAUAGUUGUUAUACUAUUGAGAGGUUGAGGUGUGGGAGUGAGGGAGUUGGGGGGAGCCACUAAAUCUGGGGGGGAAUCUCGGAGGCCAAGGAGGAUAGAUUUCUGGCCAAUAGGAAGAGGCUCUCCAUCCACUUCGGCUGCUGCCUGACUGACACGUGGACCUCAUCCUGGCCUUUCGAUUUGGCUCUCGAGAUUUUAGUGGCCAGAAAAUUAAGAUUUUUUUUUUUUUAUGAGCUUUGUACUUUGAGGCAGCGUUUGGUUAGGGGAUAGAAAUAGAAAUAGACUGUUAUCCUUCUCUUUAUACCAAAACGUUAAUUUUUUAUUCGAGAAUAGUAAUUCUCGAUUAUCCCCACCAACAUCUCCAUUUUCUAUAUAAAACUAUUUAAAAUUGUUCUUAUUCCUGGAAACAACCCAAUUUUUAUCCAAACACUAUUUUUCUUAUUCCCAUACUUAUACCUAUCCCUGUAAUAGCUAGUUCUUGCUUAUACCCAAACCAAACGAUACCUGAAAGUAAGAAAUAAAUCUUACAAUCUUAUUUAUUCAAAAAUUAAUAAUUUUGUGCUAAAAAUAUUAAAAAUUAAAGAAUUUUUGGAUGGUGAAUAUAAGUUGUGCACCUCAUAACUAGCUAGGGUGUAAGAGUAGCAAUUUUGAUUAUGAAAGAGAUGUUAGCUCAAAGGAACUAGCAUUUUGUACUAUGACGAGAGGUUUAAGUUGGUUCAAGUCCUGCUCAAAUCGAUGAGAGACUGAAUUGAGUCGAGUUAUACUCAAAAUGAUGUGAGGCUAGUUAAACUGAGUCAUAAUUGAAACACGUGAGUAUUGUGUCUGUGUGCAUUAUGUAAAUUUUUAGAACUAAUGACAAGCGCCAACUACCCGACAAGAGAGGGAACUAAUAAAUUGCAUGCAUAUACAUUUUAGUCUUAUGUGGAUCCUAAUAAGAAUAUUCCUCAAAUAUUGAUGAAACCUAUUUAAUCUAAAAUUUUAACCCUCUAAAUUUAAGACUAAUUAUAUAAUGCCAAAAAUUUUGGUUCUUACAACCAUGGUUCUAUCGUGGACUAGAAAUUUGUUCAAAUCAUUUCGAAUUGUAUAGUACUUUAUGAUAAAAUACUUUAUAGCCACAAGAAAUGAAUUGGUUAUAAGGGAUAAUACAAAAUUAUGCACAUAAUUAUUCCUUAGCGUCAACAAAAACAAAAUGUCCAACUACAAAUUCACCUCAUACAUCGAUGAACAAACCAAAAAAGAUCAACGCACGAAGAGCUAACACUAAGUAAACUAUGCAUAACAUAGUCUAAAACUCCAAGUACGAGAACAAGGCAACAACAAAAGCAACCACAAGAGCCAUCACGGAGAACCCGAGCUCAAUUGCACCCGACUUCGAAUUCGCCGAUGUCGCAGCCGGUACCGGGGCUUGUGGGGACUCCGACAACGGUGGUGGCACGGAUGGACCCUCCGGAGAGAAUGGUGGUAGCGAAGGCGAUGUCGUCGGAGGCAAGGAUGGUGCAGGAAAUGGUGAAGUCGGAGGCGUCGAAGGGGAUGGGGUCGGUUGCGUCGACGGUGGGUACGCCGGUGACUGGUUUGGUGGACCUUCAAUAUAACCGGUUAAAUUUUUUGAAUAGAAAUAUUAAUGUUUUAAUAAAUAUUUGAAAUAAUAACUAGGAUUGCGUUUAAUUGAAGAAUUAAAGAUUGGACAGUGGUAAAUAUUCCUAUUAUUCCUCUAAUACAACGGAGAAUAGCAUAAUAGAUGUUCAAAAUUGUUAAAAUCAUAAAAUAGAUCUCCAAAAAAUUUCAAUUUUUGAGGCAACUAAAUUACAAUUAGCUAGCCAUUCAAAAAUUAAACAAAAUAGGAAAAAAUACUUAGGCAUUUAUUAGUUGUUUCAUAAUUUAAUAAGAGUAAAAUAAUAAUAAUAAUAAUGAAGAUAAACCAAAAAAAAGGUAAAACACAAAGUCAUUUAUCUGCUAUUUACAUAGUUUUAAAAUUUUUGUUUCAUAUAAUGACUAGAAUUGUAUUCUCUAUAAAAUUCAUGUUCUUAUAUAUUAUCCUAAAAAUAAAAAAUAAAAAAAUAUACCCCUUACUUUUGUAACAUGGGACUAUUGGCGUGUAGGAGAGCCCACAAAGCAAGGGCAAAGCGAGAGCUUUGGUGACGUUCACGGGUACGCCUAGCCUCGCCCCUUCUCGUAUGGCCUCACAGAGGCACGUGACGCUCCGGCUCAGCACGUGACCGAGCCCGGAGCAGCAACCCCGAUUCGGCCCCGCCGCAUUCGCCCCGCCCUCCACAAACUCCAAACAUUCGCUGAACCCAAACAACGCGCCCGAACAAUUAUGGUUCGACCCGAAUGGCGUUGACAGGUUCGUGCUCAUUACCGAGCCCAAAAGGGUCUCGAACGAGAAUAAUAAUAAUAAGAAUAGUAAAAAGAAGAGUUGAUUCGUGACAUAGGACAUUGUUGGAGUGUGGUAUUUGGUUUAGGAGAAUGAGGAGAUGAUGAUGAUGGAGUUUAAGUGGUGCUAAUUGUGUAGAUCAUCCUAAUAAUAAAAGCUAAGUAACUCUUUUGGUGGGGAGAUAAAGAGUGUGGGUUGACAUCAUUCAUUGGAAGAUCAAAAGGUUCUGGGUAGCUGCAACAGUUGUGAUUAGUGAAUGGGUUUUUGGUUAUUGAAAAACUGCAUGUAUUUGUUCAAUGGAAUUACCAACUAUUCAUAGUGAUUCAUUCAUUUGGAUCAGUGAGUUCAUUGGAAAGUAUUUUAAAUUUGAGAAUUUCAGGGUGAGGGAAGGACUAAUUGAAUCAAUUAUUGAAAUAUAGACUUUGGGCUGUUUCCCCCUCCAACGCAGUUAAGUUUAGAAUAGAAAAUAUAAAGGGUUUUUUCUUUCUCGUAAAAAAAAUUAAUUCUUUGUUGAAGUAUUUUAAAUCAACCAAAGAUUUUAAAAUAUAAAAUAAGAAAUUUGAUUUUUAUUUUUUUUUUUCAAAGAAGUUGAUCAAGUCUUUUAGCUCCCUCAAAUUUUUUAAUUUUUAAAAUAAAAGAAAAAGUUAAAAAAAAUUAAUCCGACCUGCCGGAUUCGAACCAGCGACCUAAGGAUUUAGCUGCAACGACUACAGUCCUCCGCUCUACCAACUGAGCUAAGGUCGGUUUGCAAUUUUUGUUGACUAUUUUAAGUUUUAUCGAGAAUUAGAGGUCUCUAUUUAAGGGCUUUACUUUAGUAAGCGAAGGAUUUUUGCUAAAAACACUAAUUUGGUUCUUGAUCUGAAUCAGAAUUCUACAAAAAGAAGCAAGAAUAGUUGGUAUAAUGUCAUGGUUAUCUCCAUUGAUUAUAGAUAAGCAAUAGAUUACGUAAUAUUAGACACGAGAAGUGUAGCUUUACAACACUUCACAUUGAAGAUGCGAUGGAAAAAUUCACAUACAUUCAUUCUACUAUCACUACAAAUAUCCAUUAUCCAUUCCUGUAUUCGUGCUUGCAAGCAAUUUUUAAGAUACCAAAAGAUCGCUUCGACCUUCAUCCUGCAGAUUCGGUAAUAUUUCACUAACACUUGAAAUUGGCAGGCCGAAGAGCAACGGAAAAGGUCAAACCAUUCUCACCCGAUGAAAUACAAAACAUUCAUUAUGCACGGAGCAAAAGUCUUAACUAUAUAUGACUUGAAAACUGAGGCCUAUAUUACAAUGAUAUCAGAGAACAUAAAGAAAUGCUUCUAAGAUGUUUGCAAGUCAUCUGAUACGCUGGGUUAACUUUGGUGCGCAAUCUCACUUGGAAGUAAUGUUUCUCCGACAACCUUUUUUUUCUCUCACAGAAUGUCUGCGUCUUCGGAUGGUAUUAUCCUCAUAGCUACUUGUUAUCUGAGUUAUGCAUGGUCAUCUAUCGCUCCAAGCUCAUCAAGAGAUUUGUCAGAAUCAUGAAGUAACGAACCCUCCGAAGGACCUGCAACUGUUUAGUUUGCUUCAGAAAUUUGCGGGAAUCACAGACAAUAAUAGAAAACAUACUUCUGAUAGAAAUUAUUUCUGAUAGAAAUUAUCAGAUAUAAACUACAUAAGGUGUGAGGAUUUGCUCAUAACAGUUAGGUAGGGGUAAAGUUACAACCUGACCAGAGUAGCGCAUUCAUUUGCCAAUACAGAACUUGCCAAAAAUGUUUGUUAAGACUUCUUCAGAUAUGUCCUCCCCAGUGAUCUCUCCAAGAGCCAAAGCUGCUUCCCGUAAGUCUAUAGUCCAGAAGUCCAUUGGCAACUCCUCAGUAAUUGAUAAAUUCAAUCUAGAAAAAGCUUCUUUGGUGCGUAGGAGCUGCUCAAAUUGUCUCUGGAUAAUCAUCAUUGAUCUAUGAUUAAUAAGAAAACAGUUGCAUACAAAUCUAUUUUAACAAAUGAUAAGCCACCCAACCGGAUAAAAUGGUAUUGGUUGCUCAACAAAUACAACAUAACAGAUAUGUAAGCAUUUUAACACCAAUUUUACUCUAAUGUCCUUACAAGAUCAAACGAGGCCUGAAUAUUCAUGUGACAUCUAUUAUAUAAAUCUCAUAAAACCAAGUCAUUCCCUAAAGGGGGAAAAAGAACAAUGCAUAAACUGAGCAUUUGAUAUAUUAUAUGGUUCAUAUCUGAGUAAGAUAUGUAUGUAAUCCCUUUUGGUUUUGUUAAGUGGAACAGGUAUCUCGUUUUGACACCCAACUUAUAUUACAAAUAGAAAUUUGAUGGCUCUUUGUAGUAAUGGCAUUCCACCACCUCUUUCCUCUUCAGUUAUUACCUGCAUAAUCUUUUACUACUACAACAUUACUGCCUUCGAAGUACCAUAGUUUGGCAACAAACUAGUGAAAGAUGACAAAAUUAAGAGAGUAAUAGGGUAAAGAGACACUCAUUAUCCUGUAUAUAGAUCUCUACCUGGUUUAUAGUCCACCUGCGACCCCCUACAGCAGUAGGUUCAAGACCUCGGACCUCCAGUACUGCUUUCUCCAGUUCAGGGAUGCCUUUACCAGUGACAGCACAUGUCAAGACAUGCUUGUUGAAAGAGCUACUAAUGUUCCCAAACUCUUCCACCGAAACAAAUGGUGCGCAAUCCACUUUAUUGAUAACAAGAAUGAUGGGCAUUGCAAUAGCUGCAGGUUUCUGUUCUCCAUGAAGAAACAAAGUCAGCAUAUGUAUUGUGGAAAUAUUAUAUAAGGAAAACAAUGGCAUACAGAACAUGGUCUAUCAAACGCAUUUUCUCAUAAAUUAUCUCAGAGCAAUUGCAUCUAUAUAUAGGUGACGGUAAGUCCAACUUAAUUUUUUUAUAGUUAGAUCGUCUAAUGACAGCUUACUUUUCUUUUUAUCACACACAAAAAAAAGGGAGCAUUCCCACUGGCAAGGUAAGCAUGAGCAAUAGAGCCAAGAGUUUUGCAGCAUUUUCAGACAGAACUGCAUUAAAAAUUACAUGACCAUAACGAAAGAAGAUAAAAUAGCAUACCUGACUCAUCUGAAUGUGCUCAAUAAGUUUUGCAUCAUCUUCCGUCCAUCCAUCAACUGCACUUACUGUCAUAAUAAUCACGUCAGCAGCCAAUGCAGCAGCUUCUGAUCGCUGUACACCUAUAAAAAGAAAAGUAUUAGGAAGAGCAAAUUGUCAAAUUCUUCAGUUAACAUUCUGAAGUAGCAGACCAUCAGCAAAUUAGAAAGAAAAGUGAUGUAUUUGCAAUCAGAUGAUUGCCUGCAAUAUACAACCCUUUAGUAACAUAUGAGAGAACCUUACCAAUUUUUUCUACAAUAUCAUCGGUCUCUCUGAUACCAGCAGUGUCAAGAAGGGUGACAGGAAUGCCUUGAAUGGAGACAUUUGCUUCUAUCACAUCCCUCGUAGUUCCAGCGACUUCAGUUACUAUUGCUCUCUCACUCUGCAAGCUAAAAUAAAACACUAAUAAUUAAAUAACAGGAUGCAGAAAUAGAUAUCAAAGUCCAAAGAAAGCCCAUCAUAUCAACACAAAAAAGUUGCACUGUACAGGCAAUCCCGAAUUACCUAGUAUCAAAUUUAAGACAAUAAUGUCUAUCAAGAUCCCGAAGGAACUAAUAGUUUUUCAUCCAAGAUGGUGCAAUAAUCUUUUUUCAACAAUAGUUUAGUCAUGCUUCUUCAGAUGGAUUUGGGCUGUAUAUGAGACACAUUAAGCACCAAUCACACCAAUGAAGACUAGGAUUCUUCACUACCAUGGUUCACACAUCCAUUAUCCUAACAGCAUCUCAUCAGGUGUUCAUCGCAUGUUAGUUGCAUGUCCCUCAUGAUCCGACAUAACCAUUGCAUGUCUGUAGCUUGUCAGUUGCACACCCAGUAUAGCAAAAUGUAAGAGGAUAUAAAUCAAUUCUCUAAGACUAAAUUUUGUCGCUUUGGCCAAAAUGCUCCAAGAAUAGUAAAAUGCACUGCCAAAUGUAAAGAGAGGGGAAAAAAAAAGAAGCAAAUUGAGUGUAGCCUACUUUGCUCCAAGCAUUGAGGAGGCUUGACUUUCCAACAUUUGGCCUGCCAAUGAUCGCUAUCUGCAAAAAAAGAAAUCAGAACUCCUUAAAGAUUUUGUAAUAUAUCAGGAGAUGAAGGUGAACCCUUCAGGCCGGGAAUUCACAAAAGAAGUCUUUUAUAUAAGACAAUAUCUAUAUCUCAAUAAUAUUUAUAUCAAAACAAAAGAGAAAUACAUGAAAGAAGCCUGUAAGAAGGGAUUAGACACAUCAAAAGGCUCAAAAAUCUAAUGUAGAAUUAUGUCAAUAUGGCAAACUUCGGAAAAGACUGAUAUACGAAAGAAGGUAAGCCAAUCACUCAAGUGAAAAGAAUGUAUCAGCAAAAGAAAAAACAUGAGAGAAGAGGCGAAAAGACAGAAAAGAAAGAACUUAAUUACGCUCUUAAUUUUCAAUUACCAGAUACAAAGACUGAAGCACGAGAUUGCAAACAAUACCUGUAAGCCUGACUGUAAGAGUUUAUCAUAGUUUGCAGUAUCCAUUGCUUGUUGCACAUCAUGCCGCAUAUCACUUAUUUUGUUGAUCAAUAUUGUGGUGUCUAAAGGUGGCAUUUCAUCGUCAAAGUCUAAACGAGCCUCUAUUUCUGUAAGCAACUCAAUGCACUGAGCUCUCAAAGAUUUUACUAUGGCAGAAAAGCCUCCCUGCACAGAAAAGAACAAAAAUUCUGCUUAUUCUCGUCAUCUUUUACUGAAACCUAGACAGUAAAUUAUAAGCACCAUCACCUAAGAAUCUGCAAAAAGAACAGCAUUAGAGUAAAACAUGCCUGUAUACCAGCUAAUGCAGAGUCUGCCGCAGCCAACGACUUGGCUGAAAUAAGUUUUGCAACAUUCUCUGCUUGAGAAAGGUCCAAUCGUCCAUUCAGAAAAGCACGAAGAGUGAACUCGCCUAACAUAGUUGAACCAUUUAAAUACGAGAGCCUAUUAACCAGAAAUACGGAAUCGGCAAAAAGAACAAGAAGCUAACCAGGUUCUGCAAGCUUUGCCCCUGCUUCUAAGCAAGCUCUUAACACCCGCUGCAAGCAAACAUCGUUCCCAUGGCACUGAAGCUCAACAACAUCUUCUCUGGUAUAGGAUCUUGGUGCCAACAUAGGGAUGGCCAAAACCUGAUAGAGAUUACAGCAUCAAAAACCAUCUCCAAGUGAACAAUUCACUAUGCCGGAACGUCGGAAGUUAAAUUCAUUAAGAUGACACAGAGAAAUGCAAAAAUUAAAAUCAUUCGAAAUAGAAAUGCAAACGCAAAACAAAAGGACCUGAUAACACUAUAGAACUUGUCACCUACAUAGCAUACACUAAAACAAGAGAUAAUUAGCAACUGGAUACCUCAUCAAUAACAUUGCCCUUUUGAUCCAACGCGAAGCCAUACUCUACAAAAUGGCUUUUGGGCUUCCACGAUACUCCGCGAGGCCCCCUCGCCGAACUCCUCGCAGGCCGAAACACGCGGCGCGCAACCGCCACCGCCGUGGGACCCGAGAGCCGAACUAUCCCCACCGGCGCCGCACCGCCGCCCAAGGCAGUGACGAUCGCCGCGAUCGUUGCCGACUCCGGCGAGGCCUUAUCCUCCUCCGAUUUGGAUGAGGCGCUUCUCUCAUCUUCGGUGAGAACUAGGGUUUUAUCUACAGAAACAAACGGAUGAGAGAAAAAGAUCAAAACUUUGAGGACGAGUACAGUGGAGAAUCCAGGAGAGGAGGGUAAGGGACUGAAACCUGAGGGGGAGAGGCGAGAGAUUAGGGUUCUGGAUUGGCGUAUCAGGGUAUUGGGGGAGGAGUAGGAGGAGGGGAGGAGAGGGGUUCUAGGGUUUAAGAAAUGGGAGAGGAGGAGAAGGGGAUUGGGAAUUCGCCAUGGGAGGAGGUGGCGGGGGAGAGUGAGAGCCAUUGGUUUCGAGUUUGGCGUCUUUUUUGGACUUCUUCGCGGGGAGGAGAUAAAAAUUUUAAUGGGCUUAACGGGCCCAGGAUGUGCCUCGGCCUUGGACAUAAUCCUCGAUUUUGGGCCUAUUCUCGGCCCAAUAAAGUAGGAUCACCGGUUGGGUUCGGCUAAUCGUUGACCCGAUUAAAAAAGUCAACUCUCCCUAUCUCCUCAAACAGAGCUAUUUCUCCUCUCUCUCGUCGCCUCUUCGUCUUCGUUCUCUCCCCUCUCCCUCGUUUCCAUGGCCGAUGCGGCGGAGGAGAAGAGAUCGAGGUUCGAUGACGUGCCAAUGGAGGAGGAGGAAGCAAAAGCUUCGUUGUUGAAGGAGAUCGAGUCUCCCUCCGACGAUUCCGAUUCCAAAUCCGUAAGAAAUCGCACGCUUUUCCUUGUUCUAGGGUUUGAUUUUGUACGAUGAUUGAGACUAUGGUGGUUAUAUUAAUUUCAUGCUCAACACGAUUUCAAGUAUAAGAAAGUUGUGAUUUAUGUGGUGUUAUGCGUGCUUGAUCCUUUCUUUCAUGCCGCUGCUCGUUAAUUUGGCAUUAGAUUCUAAGUUCAUUAUUUAGUUUAUCAUGUUGCUGAAAAAUUGUGUGGAAGCUCCACAUUGUGUGCAUUUUUGUACGUCUUAAUAUGGUUAAAUGCUCUUAGUAUUUGUCAAUAAUAUCAAAUAAGCUCAGAAUUAUGUCUAGUUCAACUUGUAUUGCAAUAAAACAUGUAGCUGUAAAUUACUUGUAGCUCAAUUACGCUGAGAUUGUACAUAUUCCAAACUUGUACUUCCAAUUCGUUUCCAAAUGUUGCUUGCUUUGUAUGUUUGAGCCAUGCAAAUGUUGAAGCCAGUAAAGCUUUUUCUUGAUCAGUUUUUGGAGAUUGCCUGCAAGAGCUCAGGUAAAGUUCGGCGCUUUGCUGCAGGAACAGAAGCAAGGUUUGCACUAUAUAGUAUUAAUCGCAAAUUAACUGCCGGCACUCUUCCCGCCUUGUAUAUUGAGGCCGUCAAGGAGGGGGAGGAACCGGUGAUUUUUGGUCCCAGGACAGUUUUGGUUAAUUAUGGCCGAGGUUGGAAGUUGCAGACAGUUACUGAAGAAGGUAUUAUAGGCUAGUCUUGAUCUGUUGGAACUUGGAACUUCACUUACUUUUAUCAACAAACUGGAACUUAACAUGCUUGAUUUUUUGUGAAGUCGGCGACGAAGAUGCAAGAGGAAUGCAGUCUACAUCAGUCAGUAACAAGGUAUGUUUUUUCAUAGAAGAAGUGCUACUACGGAAAUCAUGAAAGGUCUCCUUAAAGGCUGUUUAUACGUCAGUAAUCACGCGUGGUGCACAAUUACUAGUUUACAUCCUUGCCCUGAGGCGCUUUGGGGGCCGCAUAAGGGUUGCCCUAGUAUUACUCUGUCUAUAAUGUUUUUCUUUUUGGGUUUGAAUCUAGGAUUCUGCUGAAAUUUUAAUGGAAUCCGACAUUUUGUUUGCUUUUUAUUUUGCAGAAACCACCUGAACUCCAGUCUAUGAAGAAGCCUAGUGGCAGGUUAACACUUCUGACUUAUAUUGGGAAGAUACUGCUUACCUUUGCCUUCAUGUUCCUUCUUGGCGGAGUAUUAACUAUGUUCCUAGAAACUCUUCCGAGCUUACUCUUAUUUGCAACAUCUUUAUAAUUCGUCUGUUGACUCAAUGCUCUUAACAGUUUUCUGUAUAACUAAAUUUUCUCUGGAUAUUGCAGAUACACGAUUUAUGUCAAUCUUAUAUUUUUGUACUUCUUGGCCAGAAACUCACAGUAAUAAUAUUGCAAUUGGAAUCUGAACAAGGUGUUAGAUAAUGUUAAACCUUGGUUGUUUCACCUUUUAUCUCUCUUACUUUCGACAGGAAAGUAAUCUAUGAACUGUUUAAGCUGACAUUAAGGUUUCAUGUCCUUCAUCAUCUUAAUGUUGUUUGCCCUGGAAUCUGUAUCAUGGUUCAUGACAGAGGGUAUCCAAAUCCUAUUGGAUACCUAAGAGUAAUGUAUGUCUCUAACAAGUUUGUAGGAUUUUAUCUGUUUAACACCAGUGCAACCCAACAGGGCCUAUUCCAAUAAUUUUUCGCUAUAUUUCAAAAGCCACCCUGCACUUUAGGAUCUUUGUCAAUAACUCCCUAUACAUCAAAUUUGAUUUUGUUUUUGCAUUAUAUUUUAGUCCAGUCAUAAAUAGCACCAAACAUUUGGGAUAACUAAUAAAAUGUGAUACGAACAUUACCUUUUAGUGGCUGGAUGAAGAUGAGAGCUUAGUUGUGUUCUUGUUCAGAGAGUAAAUAUCAAUGUUUUAAGGUUAGAAAUGAAUUAUAAUUCAAACAAAUUAAGGUGGUUCAAAGACUUUUCCCUUUAUAUUUUUCUUUAGGUUUUUCUAAAAAUUUAUGUAUAAUUUAUGUCUCUUAACCUACAAAAAAUUGUUUACUUUUAUGCAGAAUUGGUCAUUUUAUUGCAAACCAAAAAAUGCGAAGUCUACAACCAAAAAAGCAAUCGGAAUCCUACAAGGCUACGAUCCUUUUAUCCAAAGGUCACUACAGUUUAAUUUCUAGCCUCUUUUUGGUUUUAGUUUAAAAAAGAAGAAGAAAAAAGAGAGUGAUAAAAUUCACAGAGUAAAAUGAUCUUUGGAUGAGAGAGUGUGUAGGAUUACAGCUCAUUUUGGGCUGUAAUUAAGUUUAUCAUUACUCAUGCAAAUCCUAACUAAACCCUAAGCUACUAAAAAUAAUUUGUGAAAAAAUUAACAGCCGACUAAUAACACUCAACUGAUCAAGCAAAGUCAUGCAACAUUAUGAAAAUCCAACGAAUUAAGAGGCGUUUGGUUCACAGUAAAACGAACUGAAAAAUUAUUUUUAGUAUGAUACCAGUUUUCCGCUUGUUUGGUUUGAUGUAAAAAUAUUUUUUCGUAAAAAUAUUUUUAUAGAUUUGGAAAAAAAUUGAAGUUUACAAUUUUCGCUAUUUUUCGGCAGAAAACGAAAACUCACGUUACGUAAAACUUUUUUCAUUUAUUUUUUUUCACUGAACCAAACAGAUGUGAUUUUUUUUUCCUUUCAAUCAAACAAAUAUUGAUGAAAAAUUACUUUUUUUCCUACAAAUCAAAUACUACAAGACGUAAAACUUAUUUUUCACGAUUUUACUUUGAGCCAAAUGGACCCUAAACUUGAGACGAGCUUUUCGCUAUAGUUUGUUCGGCUCAAGCUUUUCUGAAUCAUGUGAGUUGCUUUUUAAACAUGUACUGUUUUUUAGGAGUCUUUUUUCAGUAUCAUGUGAGUUGCUUUGGAAAUUUCCAAAGCCUAGAUGUUUAUUCAGGCAGUUAAUUGAAAGGGUUGAAUAUUUUGUUGUCAAAUCCAACUUCGUUUCUAGGCACCAAAAAAUAGAGAUCUCAAUUUUGCCGCUUCUACUUUUGAUACACGAAGAAGUUAUUAACAACUAAAAUAUAUAUCACACUAUUUAACAAUUAUGUCAUUUAGUUUUGGUCUUCAAUUACUCCAUAAAAAACGAAAAUACAGGUCCACCUUAAUGGAAGGUAUAUGAUGCCAACUACUCCGAUAAACCAUGUCGAGUUAAUUAAUUAACAUUUUUUCAAUAUUUCACAACACAUAUUAGCUGAGAUUCUUCUUGAAAUUAAAGUGUUUUAGCAUGAUCACAUGUUGACCUGAGGCCUAAACAAAAGAACUCAUCUACCAUUGGUUGCUAAUAGUUUGUUGUAUUUAGGAGGAACACCUCUCAUCUAACUCUCUGAACUGAAUUAGACAACUAAAGAUGCAUAUAUAUGUUGGUAAUUAAAUAUACACAUUGCAUCAUCUAGCUCCUAACCUUGUGCAUCUUUAAUAUCUACAAGUAGGGCAUUUUAAAUAGAGCCUAUUGACUUGGAUCUCCAAAUAGUUAAAAAAAAAUUUAGUGGUCCCUUAACCACUCAAUGAGAAAAGUGGUCCUAUGGGACAGCAUUCAAACCUUUGUUCUAAUUUAAUCUACCAAUUUAUAACUCCACGGAAUGAGUUCUAGGAAUGCGAAUUUUUUAGAUGGUAGACAAUUGUCAACUAGUGUUUCCACUAAUAUAUAAUUAAAGGUCCCUUGAUACGUAUAGGAACAUUUUUUUUUUUUUUAAUACAAGUGAUUAGAUGUUCAUCAACUUAGCAUGAUUCUGCAUCAACAAAAGAAGUAACAUGAGUAUAUAUGAAUACUAACAUGCUAGAGCUACACACAAAUAUUGCUACAAAUAUAAAAAUAUAGUUAUACAAUAGUGACUUACAAACAUAGUUUUCAUAAUGAAAUAAUGUAACCAUCCAACUCAUCUCCCUCACCAAAAGCUCAUAGACAUUUUCUGCUGCAAUGUCACACCCACAGAAACUGCAUCUAGUUGAUCAACUGAUGAUCAGCAGGCCAGAACUCAGCUUUCUUAACCUUUGAGAUGCUCUCCAAGACCCCCAUUGGUGACACAUGGCCCAUCACAGUGACCCUCUUGGUGUCCAGAUCUAUGCUAAAGGAUGUCACCCCUGUCAUUUUUUUUUAAUGAAAAAAAAUAAAGUGAUGAUGUUAAAUAAGAAAAAAAAAUCUCAAAAACCACCUAUCUGUAUAUAUAAUUCACUUACAAUUUACCAUCCUAUAUAUGUGUUCUGUUUUAGUUUCGUACGUAUCUUUCAUUAAAUAGCGAUAGUAAAAUACUGUAUUUAUAAAUCAUAAGUUAGUAAAUUAUAGCACUUUAUCAUUUUAAGAUUUGUACUUUACACUAUACUUUGUUAUUUAUAAAAUAUACCAUCAAUUUUGUUGCCAUGUUUAAAACAAAAACCACAUUUUAGGGUAAAGUACUGUAUCUUUGAACCAUGCAUGGAAUAGUAAACUAUAAAUAUUAAAUAAUACUAUACAUUGGGUGAUUUUUUAAAUUUUUUUUGAAAAAAAAAAGAAAAGAGGAGGAAAUUAAAGAACUCUCUUAGUAGUUCCAGAAGAGUACUAAAUAUAUUUUGGUCUAUAUACCUUCCAUUUUGGAGAUGUGUUUCCUUACUUUUCCUGCACACCCUUGACAAUGAAUAGCAACUCUCAUCACCACUACCUAUCAAAUAAGAAAGAAAGAAUAGGGAGGAGUGAAAAAGGAAAUUAAACUAGAAUAAUUUGUAGGGGAUGAAGACAAAGGAACAGGUUAAUACUUGGAGGAAAAUGUGAACACCAAAAUAAUUAACCAUAGAGGAAGGGAAGGAGCAAUAUUUGUUAGUGGGCCACUACUGUUCCUCCACUUAAAAAAGAGAACUUGUACAUAGUACUACCAUUGUCUUGAUAAUUGGUACUAUGUAUACAGAUCCACUUGAGCCAUUUGGAUUCUCCUCCUUGUUUUUCUUUUACUACAUGUCAAUUACCACACAGUUAAGUUUAGCAGGAAGCUUUUAUGGAGGCUUUUAUCUCAUUAAUCUCACAGUUUGUAGUAUGAGUUGUUUACAUAAAUAAAUUUCAUGAACUUGACAUAAUGCUGUACUGUUUUGCCCUCUCUUGAUUAGAAUGAUGAAAGGGCCUCUUUGGCCAACUAAUUAAUUAGCUACAAAAUUUCUUAUUGUGUGCUAUACCCGAAGUAAAGUUUUAAGUUAAACGUUGUACAUAUUUUGGAGGUUUAUAAUCGACUUAUUUCACAUUAAUCCGCAAGAGUACAUUAAAAAUGCAUAAUUUGUUUUGUCAAUUACAUAAUUGGCUCUCAUCUGCUUCUCGAGGUAAAAAAGCUAUUCUACGUAUGAGCAGCUAGGCACCAAAAAGAAUAUUGAAUGAUGCAACUUCAUCCAAUUUUGAACUAGCAUAUAUGUAAGACACAGCGUGAUUUUCUAUUUGCAUUUUAUAUAUAAUUGGGGGCAAAAUUAAGAAGAUCCUAGCAUGUGUAGUAGCUUUAAUUCACGAAUUAACAAGUCAAUUCAUUUGAUUAACCUAGCUUAUUAAUCUCCUUUAGUUAAUUUCCACAAUAUACUCCAUAAAACAAUAUAAAAGUUACAUGAAAUACAAAUAUAUAUAUUUAUAUAUACAUAGAGAGAGAGAGAGAGAGAGAGAGAGAGAGAGAGAGAGUUUAGUUCCUCUACUAUUAAAAGCACAUGAGCAUCUAUAUUUGUAAUUUUUUAAAGCACUAAUAAAAGAGACUUAAGGUAGGUAGCUUACUUGAAAGACAUGAUCAGCAGUGGAUACAGGUUCAAGAGGAGGCAGUACGACAUUAGCAUUGUUUGGCUUUGGCUGCUCCCUGCUGAUUUCCUUCUUCGUGAGCAUGGGGAGUGUGACCGCCGACCGCCUCCGAUCAUGACCGGGGCCGAACCUCCGCGAGUCGGGCAGCCGAGAGUACUUGAAGUCUACCAGGUGCCGCGAAUUCUCGAUAAUCUUCCUAUCGGCCGCCCUCCUCGUCGUCGUGAUCAUCGUCCUCGCGUCGCACGGUAUGCAGACCGCCGUCGACUCGUGCGACCGGCAUAGCAUUCCAUUGGCCUUCAUGGAUAUAGAGAGAGAGAGAGAUAGAAGAGAGAGAGAGAGAGGAGGAGGGGUAUUGAAGGAGAGAGCUAGUUUUGUGGAGGUUAAGGAUAUAUAUAGGAAUAGAGGGAGGGGAAAAGAGAGGAGGGUUCACUCUUUACUUAUAAAAAGGAGGUUGAUAUGAUGCUCUUGCUGAACCAUCUAACUACCUUGAGUUCCAAAUAUAUAUGGCAAAAUAUAAGGUACAUAUAUGAAGUAGCUAAGUUAUAUCAACUGUUUUUUUUUUUUUUUUGUUACUUAGGAUAAAACUUUAAAAAAAAAACAUGAUAUUAAUUAGCAAAUUCUUGACAUUAGAGUUCGAUGGUCCUUUGGGUCAGAUGUUGAUCUAAAUAUGAUCAGUAACUGAGAUUCAGAACCAAAUUCUAACAAAUUUUGAUUAAGCCUAAAUCAAAAUUCAAUUCAAAAACUCUACUGUAAAAAUGCACUAUGACAGGUAACAUUUUCAACAUUAUAUGUAUUUUUUUUUCCCCUCAUAUAUUCUUAAUUUUGACUUGUGAAGUGGUUUAUGUUAAGGAGAUAUAUAUAUAUAUAUAUAUAUAUAUAUAUAUGCAGGAACAGUGGAAGAGAGAGACAUGCUUUCUUAAUGACUGAGCUAACUCAGAGCGGCGCGGACUCGGCUCGAUCGGCUCGGCUCGACUCGGUCACGUGAUAGUGGGAAUGAAAUGACCAUACUGCCCUUGUCAUUUCGUUACCACAGUAGGGUAAUGUACCGAGUGGGGUAAGAAAGGUAACAUUGCCAUUUUUCAUUUUCACGAAGGGUAUGGUCACGUGACAACCACUAAAAUAAUUAACUGGUUGGGUCCCAGUUAAUUUAUGAAGUGACUCAGUAAUAAAUGUCGAGUCGAGAUAAAGUUCGAUCGGUCCAUUUCUCACCAUUAAUCGUGCAUGAACUUUACGCGCGAUCACGUUCCAAGUUUAUAUAAUUUUCUUUCAAAAAAAUAAAUCAGAAGUAUGUUUAAACUUUAUACUCUAGAUCAAUUAGAUUGUUUUUGCGUUAAUUUUGAAUGAACCUUCCAAAACUACCAAUUUGAAAAUCUUUAAUUUUUCCAUGAUUGUAAUUUUUUUUUCUUAUGACCAAUGACUAACAAAAGAUUAUAGAUGUGCUGUUUACCUAAAAUUAUUCGUCAAACAAUGCAUCAGCAAUUUUUUUAUUAUAGUUUCUCUAGUAGCUUUUCGCUUUUUGUAAAAAUGAAGUUCUAAAUUUCUCAUUUACAAACAUGCAACGUUAUAUGCAACGAAAAAAAAAAAAAAGAAGCAGCUUGAAUCAUCCUUUUUUCAUUUUAUAAUUCUAGGGGCCACAAAGAGUACCUGAUCAAAGGACAAUAUUAAUUACCACGAAAUGAAGAUCAAGAGGGUCAAAAAGCUACAGGGGGGAAUGGUAAAAAGUGGUAAGGAUUCAGUUAAAGUUCAGUGCAAUAACUGCAGUAAACAGAGGGAAAGAUUCGGAAACUGCACUCUGAGCUCUCCCUGAACCCCUCUCUCGUAUUGUGCCUCGUCCUACAGUUACAGAUUUAUCAUUUCAGGGCAAAAAAAAAAAAAAAAAAAAAAAAAAAAAAAAUCUCUAAGGAGCUUUUUUUUCUUUUUUUUUACAUCAUUAAUUUCGAUUGUGUAAUCAAUGUUACUUUACUUUCGCUUUCCUAUAUAUAUAUCAUGGUCUAAUUUAGGAUUAUGUUACUAAAAACAUCUGUUUUUAUAUUUUGAACCAUCAAAAAUAUCUAAAAUUGUUUUGAAUAUUUCUAUAAGACGUCAUAAUUUCAAACCUAGUUCGAAAGAAUAAUUCUAAAACACAACACGCAACCUUCGUGACUUCUUUUGAUACAAAUAGAAUCAAUACUACAAAAAAAUUUACGUAAAUGAUUAUAAUCAUGAAUAGUAAUAAGUGAAUCAGCAUGCUAUAUAUAUAUACUCCGGCCAGCUAAUAGCCAUAAGAAAAGGCUGAGAUGGAGAAAAAAAUUUUUGUCCCAGUUUUAGUUAAUGGUCUUUUUACUGCACACAGGUGUAGUAACAAAAUUCUUUUAACAUCAUAAUGUAAUUAAUAUAAUAUAAUAUUAUCAUUAUUUUUGAUUAAAUUUUAUGUACCUCUUACAAUAAAGGCUUUUUCGAUAGAGACGUGCAUAUUUGCAUUGCUGGUACGUACUUAGCGGGCAUGUUGGGCUGUGCAUGGCAGGCGCAACGUAAAGCAGUUGGUGUCCGACCGAUCACACGUCAAAAUCACCUCCAAUCCCCAAAAACUGGCCAUGCUUUCCACUAAUAAAUGAUGGGUGGGAGAUCGAUGCUGGGUGGGAGAUCGAUGCUUCUUCGUGUGCCCACAAGUAGUAUCAGCCCCAGGCCAGUUCUAAGGCUAGCAAGGUAACUAUAAACUUACCCUAAUUAACUGCUUGUAGUAGGAGGGAUCGAAUGUUAUUCAUUAAUUCAACUAGUUCUCUAAACAGGCUUAAGUGAAUUAAACUACUCAACUUGGAUCGCGUUCCAAAUAGGCAUGUUAAAGGAUCGAUCGUGUUAGUUUUUGCACGAUUUGAGUGUAACAAAAUAGUUUUUGAGUUUGAAUCAAGUCGUAGCGGAUUAUUAAGUAUUGGAACCCAAUUCGAACUAGUUAGGUCGUGUAAAACUAAAGAAGUACCGAGAAGUGUACGCGCCCGUCCCUUUUGUUUCUUUAUAAACCGAUUUAGUCCUGUGAACUGAGCCGAGCAUGACUUAACCUGUAGAUAGCUAGACUCAGUUGGCUAAAGUCAGAUUUAUUCUGCUCCCUAUCUAACCUUCAAUUCAAGAGAAUCGAGACAACAAAGCAAUGUUCAUAAAAACAAUAAUUAAUCCAGAAAGAAAAUAAUUAAUUCAAUUGUUUGGAUAGUAAGUACUAGCUGAAUAAAGAACAUCCAAUCCCUCCCAAUACAAUUUCAUCUUUGUAGUACUCAUGAAAUACUCUAUUGUUUUGGGCUAAAAUUUGGGGGGUUAUAUAAUUUGGGGAACUCUAUCUUUUGGAUUCUCUUGGUGAUGGCCUUUUGCUAUUAAUUAGGAAGAAGGCAAAAGGGAGACAGUGCCUGAGGUGUCUGAGGUGCCCAUUCAUGCAAAAGGACAUGAAUAUCCCAUGUCACACUCCUAAACGAGCCGAGCCGGAAUGGGAUAAUUAACCAAAUUUGCUCAACUUUAUUUAUUAAUUACACCUAUUAAAAAUAACAAUUGCUAGACAUGGCCUGAUGAUUGUUAUUUUUUAAUCUGAGGCAUGGCUUGGAAAUUAAUUAAUUAACAGAUGAGAUAAAAAGGCAACAAAUCUUUUUUACUCUUCUGUGAUCAGAAGCUAAAGCAUAAUUCGAAUAGUACAAGUAAAUCACAAGUUCAAACAAAUUUUUCAAAACCAAAGAGGUGGAAAACUCGCUACUAGAUUUUGGUAUUAAUUUCUACAUUGUUUUCUCUUUUUUUUUUUAGAGAAAGAUAGCAUACUACCCGCUUCAUUUAUUUUUUUUAGAAAUAAAUUUAGCUGGAAAUGUGAAAUAACGACUAGGCUUCGAAUUUGGGAUCUCAGAUACCAACCAUUGACCAAACCAUUGAGAUUCUAAUAAUAGAAAAAUGCGAAGAGAUAAGACCUGGAUUUUGACCUUAUCCGAAUAAACUAGCCACAAAUUUACAUGACUUGUUUUUUUCCCCUCCUUAUUGCAUAAUAAUAGUGUUAUUUACCUGUUGAGUCAGAGACUCAGAGCUACACGAAUAUGCAGUAAUGACAGGGAAUAUAUAGUAGCAGGGAGUGAAUAGUGAGCCCAUGCAAUUACUAAUUUUUUUUUGUUUCAUAUAACUUAUGUCUUAUGUCAAUAUAUAUAUUACUUACCAGCUGCCAAAAUUUGGCUCUUCCAUGAGGUAGGAAUGAAAAAAAAAAAAAGAAAAAAAAAAAGGGAAUAUAGUUUCACCAUGGUAUAAUUAUCACUGUAUAUAUAAAAAUUGACAUGUUUGGGAUAUUAUUAAGUAAUACAAUUAACUAAGAAACAAGUGUUUAGUGCUAAUUAAUGGAUAGUAAGUCAUCUUUAAUAGAUUCCUGACCACUUUUUUAAAAAUAAAAAUAAAAAAUGACUUAACUGUUCUGGAACUUGAACUUAGCCCGCUAGUGUGGAAAGGGACUUAAAAGGAUUGAAUAAACAAUUAUUGUCGAGUACGUAUUCCUGUGAUUAUAAGAUAUCAUAGCAAUCAUCGCUUAAUACAGUAGGUUUGUUAGUUAAAGCAACUUGGAAAAAAGUCACAACACUAAUUGUGAUUUGGUCAACUCUUUAACCCUUAAUUAAGUUAAUUAGUUGUAACAUCGUUAUGACAAGUACCAAUCAUAUAUAAAAUAACCACAACAUGGACGAAACACGAACUUUAAUUAGAUGUUUAAUAUUCUAAUAAUGUGAAAGAUAGGAUGAUGCGUUACCUAUGUAUAUACGGUAAAGUUAAUGAUGGAGCUAAAAGGAUGCGAAAUUCCUUCCAAUGUUAAUGUUUGGUAAAAUUAAAUUAAUGCAUCUUUCUUUUUUUUUGAGAAAAAAAAAAAGAGAGCACUAGUACUCAAGAAGAUAGAAACUUCUAAGUUUUAUCUUUAAUCUUAAAAAAAAAUUACAAAUUAUAAUUUUUCGACAAUUAAUUCUAUUCAAACAAUACUUUUCACAAAAAAAAAAAAAAAAAACUAAGUAUUUGUGCAUGAUUGGUCAUUUUGGGAUUGGUCCCCUGUGCCUUUAAACAUCCAUUUAACUUAUCCUGUAGGGCUAGGGCUAAGGAAAUGCAAGCUCUAUAUAUAGGUUCAAUAUAUAUAUGCAUGCUAUAUAUAAAUAUAGAGCGCAGCUACUAUCCGUUUAGGAGGACGGAUGACUUCGUCUUCCUAAAUUAUAUUAGAUGAUAGAGAUUUCAAAUCGAUGAUCGGAACCGUUAAAAUUGAUCUAGAGUAUUUAUAACGUACGUCUAAAAACUAAAUUUCAUAAAUUUUAAAAUUUAUUAUCAAGUUCAUUGAAGAGUUGAAAAAUGAACGGUAAAAAAAAAAUCUUGUGAAAAUAGAUGUUAGACUUUUACAAUUUAUGAUUGGAGUUAUAAAAAAUUAUCUAAAUAGUAUAAAAUUUUUUUUUUCAAAAAUUUAAAACUGUUUGGAUAAUUUUACACCAUUAAACAGGCAAACGGUUUAUACAGGCUGUCAAAAACGGUGAUUUUGUGAUUCUUUGAGCCCUACGUAAAUAAUUUUUAAAAUUUUUAAAAUUUAGUUUUUAGACACUUUAAAUACGCUAAAUUAACUUUAACGAUUUCGAUCAUUGAUUCGAAAUUCCUAUCAUCUAAAACGAUUUAGAAGGACGAAGAUCUUCGUCUUUUUAAAAGGAUAAUAGCUUAAUUCUAUAAAUAUAUAUAUAUAUAUAUAUAUAUAUAUAUAGCCCAAUCAUUCACCUUAAGUUAAGGAGACAAGAGGUAGUUACCACUGAGCUGCCCCCAACCAACUUUGGUUGGUUUUGGUGCUCCCUGCGUGCCCAGCGUCCCACGAUUAACUGCCUUUAACAGUACUACUGAUCUGCCGCUAUAGUACUCCCGGCACCCCCAUGUGAAGCUCUUACACAGCCUUUAUUAUCUUCACUCAUCCUCCCCUCACAAGUUGUUUGCCACUUUGCGGUUCGAGUCAAGUUCAGACGAAGAGCAUACUAACAAAUUAAGUAUGUAAAUUUAGAUUACAUAGUUCGAGUCUAGUUCAGACGAAGUGCAUACUAACAAAUUAAGUAUUUAAGUUUAGAUUAUAUUAAUCAUCGUGCAUCAUUCAUAAUUAACCUGGCCUCUAAGGUUGUUUCACAGCUUUUCAUGUUAUAUCUAUUUUCUGGAUCAGUCUUAAGCAUAAAUAGUUUCAGAAUGUUGUCACUUUGCAAUUUGCACUACAGAGACUCUCCCAUAUGAAGAGUGCACUAACAAAUUAAGCAUCAAAGUAUGUAUAUAUAUCAACAACUGAGCACCAUCGAUAAUUAACCCUCUAUUAAGACUAUUUCAAAGAUGUUCGUAUUAUAUCCGUUUUCGAGACCGGUCUUAAGCCUAAUUAGUUCCAAAACGUUGCAAGUUUAAUUUUCACGUUUGUCAUUUAUUAAUAGUAAAAAGUGUACAAAAUUUGUUGAACUAUGAACCAUUUGAGUCGACUAUCCAACCUUUCAAAAAUUUAAUUUUAUUGCCUAAUUUUUUAAUUUGUUUGACAUUAAUAAGUUGGUUGCAUACUUUGACUUUAAAAAUUAAACCAUUGCUUACUUUAAUGAAUUUAAGGUGCGGAAAUUGUGCAUGAGAUAUACUACUUAAACGUGCUAAGACAAAUGACAAACUUUAAAGUCAAAGUACUGAAUCAAAUCAAACAAAUUGAAAGGUUUGAUAGUAAAAUCAAAAUUUUAAAAGUUUAAAUAUAUUUAUAGCCGACUAAAAAUGAUCUAUAGUUUAUGCAAGUUUUGUACAUUUAAUUAGCUCAAAUCAAACAAAUUGAAAGGGUGGAUAGUAAAAUUAAAAUUUUUUGAAACAUUAGAUAGUCCGUUCAAAAUAGUCUAUAGUUUAUAUAAGUUUUGGACAUUUUUACGUUUUGUAAUUAGCAUAGUUCCUGCCUGUUGGUGGAAGCCUACAAACUAGGGGCAAUGCAUAAAAUCUGGAAAAAAAAAACAUUCCUAGUUUUUUUUUUUUUUUUUUUUUUUUUUUUCUGAGGGAUAAGUAGCACCCUACCCGCUUUGUUUAUUUCAUUUAGAAAUAAACUUAACUGAAAAUGUGAAUCAAUUAGGAUUCGAACUUGGGUCUCGGGUACCAACCACCAAGCCCUUUGUCACUUGCUCUAGGGACGGUCGGUAAAUGUCUCUAGUUGUUCAACAUGCAACCGGGCAACUCGGGCUUGAUUUGGGCUGGGUUGAGCUUUAGCUAAAGAUUGUAGGCCAAGCCCAUUCUGAAUUGUCCCAUCAUGGAUUCAUGGUUAGACCCACUUGUAGGAGCUGAUCGAGCUCUAUGUAUUUUACUUGAAUUAUGUCCAAUAUUAAAGUAGGAAUAUAAGAGUAACAAAUAAUUACAUAGUACAAGAUGAAUCAUUUCUUGCUGUAUCUGUCCCGGGCCCAAAGUUUGUGGUCCUAUUUGUUUAAUUAUAUUUGGCUUUUUGUACUGAGAAUACAUCCAAAUCCAACACGUUGGUAGAUGGGCGUGAGAGUGCUAUGAUGCUCUUCUACUUAGUAAUGAACUCGCACAAAAAUGGCGCGGAUAGAGACCAAAGAGAGAGAUAGAUCGAUAACAAGUUAUAACUUAAGCCUUUCCAUCAUUACCGUAGAUUACUCUGCCUAGUGAAAAAAUUGUGUAAUGAUUUGAGUUUUUCAUAAUAUUAUCUUCAUAAUAAGAUUCUAACACUUUGAUGCACGUAAUGUAAAAAAUUUUGAUUGAUUUUAUGCCGUCGACCAAAUAUCACGUAAAUUUGCCAACACAACAAUGCUUUAUAAGAGAUAUUAUGUUCGGGCAACCCAAGGCACUUCCUGUGAAAAAAUAAAAUGUAGUGUCACUAUGUUAAAGAUCAGAAAUGCGCUCGCACUUUAAAUUACUUCUUGAUCAGUAGUUAGAGUUUAGUACUAAAAUACUAACUACUUAAUUUGGACGGGUCAAUAAGCGCCACUAUACACAGUAAGGCUCCCUUGGGCUCAAGUCCGAUGAUAACAAAAUUAGGCCCAACCUGUGUUCGAACAUACUCCUAGAUAGCAUAGAUUUGUUGGACUGAGGCCCUAGUUUGCGACACUAGCCCAAAACAUAUAUUUCUGUGGUCUAUGUAUUUACAUAGGCCACAGCUCGAAUACAUAUAUUUUAUAUUUNNNNNNNNNNNNNNNNNNNNNNNNNNNNNNNNNNNNNNNNNNNNNUAUAUAUAUAUAUAUAUAUAUAUAUAUAUAUAUAUCAAAUCUAAUCCAUUUAAUUUAUUAUUCGUUAGUCAGUUCGUAUUCGGCUCAUUUAUUAACAAGUCUAAUACGAGCUGAAUUUUUUGGCUUUAUAUUUUAACGAGUCAGCGCGUGUCUGGCUCGUUUAUUAAAUGAGUCGAACACGAGCCGGUCUGCUUGUGUUCGGCUCGUUGACACCCCUAGGUAUAUAUUUGGGGAAGUAGCGUCGAAGUAAAGAAAAGAAUAUGUUGUCUCUCCUUCUAGAAUUUGCUACGUACAUUUUUAAUGUGGUCCAUGCACGAAUUAUGUGUUGGAACACUAGAGCUGAGCCUUUUGCAAUGUUUCUCAUAUCAAAUUAUGAGCCCUGCUGGAAUUAAUUUAUUUGAACAUGGUGGGUUAGGUCUAGCUCAACCAGACCCUCAAAAAUGAAAGACCUUCUUUAAAAAAAUGAAAGAAAAAAAAAGAAAAAUAUUUGUGAACCAAAAUUGCCAAAAGGAAAAAAGAAAAUAAAUAACACAUUAAUUAAUGAGUCCUUUUUUUGUUCCCGGAACAACCAAGGAAAGAGCACAGCGCAUAGCUUAAUGUCUACGAGCUACGUACAUUUUACACGUAGUUAAAUGCAUCAUAACAUUAAUUUAAGAAACAAAAUAAUAAAAAUAUUCAUUUUAAUUGAACUUCGUUUCCGUGUAUCAUGUUAACACACCGGCUUUUUUUUUUUUUGUUUUGUUUUUCCCGUUCUAUGUUUGUUUAUUAGGCAGCUUUUGUACUUUUAAAACCUGUCCUUGUUUCCUUUUGCUUAUGUUUCCAGACAUGUGAACAGGAGUUCAUGCACAGCAAUCAAAAAGUUGUUCACACCCAAUAAACAACCAAAAAGGGAAAAAAAUAAUUGGAAACUGCUUCUUUAAUUGCAUACACAAAGGACAACACAACACAGUACAAGAUAUGUAGUGUCAUUAAAUAAUUUAUAUAUAUAUAUAUAUAUAUAUUGAUAUAGAAGUUUCGUAACAACCCAUACGUCCUUUCCAAGUGUUCAUGAUCUAAUUAACUCCAACCCUAGCUAGCUACACUCUAGGCUACAUACUAUAUUAUUCUCUGACACUAUUAAGGAAAAAGGUUCAAAGGUAAAAGGACAAGACAUGGCAUGCAAAACCCUUUUUCCCUCUUCAAGCUAUUUAUACAAAAAACCAGUAAUAUUAGUAUGUCACUAAUCCUUCUCUAAAACCUGAAAGUGGUCAACCAAGGUCCAAUGCUAGAGAGAGAGAGAGAGAUAAAAUGAUCUCUCUCUCUCUCUCUCUCUCUCUCUCUCUCUCUAUGUUUGUGUGUGUGUGUGUGUGUGUGUGUGUGUGUGUUGUAGUGUCAUUAACUUCACAUAAUAGAGCAUGCAUUCGGGUUUUCAUCACUAAACAAGGUGGUGAGCUGGUCCUCCUGUCUGACUAGUUGGCUAGAGAGUGUUACAGCCUCGACAUUCCUCACAUACCCAGGUGGUGCCUUCUUGUCAUAAGCUGGAGCAGCAUAAGGAUGGGCCACCAGAGUGUAAGGAAUGUAAGGCCAAAUCUCAGCCCUUUUCCCUGUAGAUUGAGCCUUCUUUAAUACCUUGCUGGGCUCAACAUAACCUGUCACUGUAACCUUUUGCUGCUUCCUGUUGAUCUCCACUGAUUGAACUCCUACAUUAAUUAAUUAACAGCCAUAAAGAUCACAAUUAUAAGAACACUGCAUAAUAUAUAUAUAUGUGGAUUUACAUAUAAUACAAUGUGAGAGAUGAUGAAGUGUUGGAUUAUUAUAUAUAUUGUUGUUACCUUUCAUGUUGGAGAGUGCGUUUUUGACUUUGAGCUCACAACCCUCACAGUCCAUUCUAACCUUGAGCUCCACAGUGUGCAACUGCUUCCGCUUCUUGUAGCUGUGGCCAGUGCCCAACAAGCGAGAGAGGUAGUAUAUUGUCCCUCCCAUGGUGCUUCUUUUGGCUGUACUAGCUUAACGAGAACGGAGAAAAUUAAGGAGAAAAGGAAAAGCACUUCUAGAUGAAGAAGAAAAGAUGGAGGAGCUAGCUUAUGCGUGAAGCAGCUUUCGCUAGCUAGGUGGAAAAUUACAGGACCACAACCCACCCUUCGCUUUGGAUGGGUAUGCAAGGUGGAAAAGGCUUCUUUUGAGCUCGAUGGGUAGGUGGUGUUGAAAAACAGAAGCAGCUUCUUGGAACUCCAAACUCUAAACAGGAGAAGAGCAACAAUAAGAGAGCAAUUAACAAGAGUGUAAAAAUGGCUUCUCUAGAGAACUAUAUAUAUAUAUAUAUAUGAGAUGAGAUCACCAAGAGAUAUUUAUACUAAGCUCUUCCUCAGGCUUACUCUUCUUAUAAGAUAUAAGAUACCUUCCUCCCCACAAGCUAUUAUGUAUCCUAUAUUCCCUCUCACUCACUUCUCCCUUUGCUUCACCUCGACCCCUUCUUUUAUAGGCGUUCGAGGAGAAGCAUGGGCCUUAAGCCAAGGGCCAAGGGUUAAUAAAAAAGCAGGUGAGGGAAAAAGAAAAGAAAAAGAGGAGGGGAAACCCAAAAGGAAACAACAGUAGACUCGUGUGUUUUGUGUUGGGACUCUGACCUAUGUAAAAUUAAUAAGAGCAAUAAUAAAAGGGCGAGGGGUUGUGCAUGGUCAUGUGGUGUGUUUGUGUGUGCGAGUGGAGAACUCAGUCCUUGAGGUGCAAGAAAGCUUUUGGGAAUGGGAACAGUAAAAACUCAUGUGUAGAACCCAAUGAAAAUGACUUGGACCAAGGCCAAGGGACCCUCUUCUUCAGAGAGAGAGAGAGAGAGAGAGAGUUAUAAGUUACAAGUUAUAAGAGUUAAAGGUGGUGGUGGUGGUCGGUGGUCCACGCAUGAAAAGGAGGAGAAUUUAUUGGAUGCACCUAGUGUGUAGUGUGAUGUAUAUCUCACACCUAAAAUUCAAGUUUAGAGGUUAUGUAUUGUAAUUCAAUUUCGUAAAUAGAUUUGUAACAUUUAAAAGUCAUACACAUCACAUCAAUAAUUAUAAACUUUGGACAUCUGUUAUUUAUGAAUAUAACAAUAUUUUUUUAUAUCUUCAGAAAGUCUUCAAUACAUGCAAUAGGUAUUUCACUUCAUAUAUAUCCGACUAAUUUUGAUUUUCGUAUUAAAUAGUAAAGAUAUAAUGAUCAAGCGCAAUAUUGAAACUUCAAAAUAAAUGAUUGGUGUCCCAAAAACAUAAAAAUGUUAAUACAAUAUGAAAUUAUUUGAUUGUUGCUACACACACACACAAAUGCUACAGAGAAAACCACACACACACACACACAAAUGCUACAGAGAAAACCACACACACACACACAUGCUACAGAGAAAACUUAAUUUCUUCUAUACUAUUGAUUUUAGAACUAACAAUAAACAUGACUUAGUAAUACUGUGUAAAGCUGCUUUUUAAACCUUAAUAACAUAUUUCAUAUUAAUUAAUGUUGUAUAUCACAUUUACAAAGUGGUGCACAGUGCACCAGGUGCCCAAAUGAAUACCAAGGAACUGGGCUUCCCCUGGACCCUUCAUCCUACCAACUCCAACCAUGUUUCGAGUGCCACGUGGCAGUGAGGGACCAAUCAAGCUGCGCCACCUGUAACAGAGUGGUUCAGUUCUUAAGCUGCGCUUACUUGUAGCUGUGUGAUUGGAAAAUAUAUAUAUAUGUAUAUAUAUUUCCCCAGGAGUUUCCCUUUCGAAGGACUUAAAAAAUGAAAUGAGUGAUUAGGGUUUGAUUGGAGGUUGGUUUGUUCGUGUAGAACACCUCAAAGUGUUAUUUCUUCCUGUGGUCUCCCUUACAGGUGGCUACUUAGUUACCUCUUCAAGUAUACUUCAAUCAUUUAUGUUUGAAACAUGUGGCAUGCAAUUGAAGAGCCUGUUGAUGACUUUUUCUUAUAUUAGCAAUUAAAGAGUUGAUGGUAUAAUUAAUCCAUGGCUUCAAUUAUUGAGGGGAUUAAUUGGAUCAUGUCAUCCAUAUGUCUUAAUUAUCUUUAAUUGUGUGUCUUCCUCUUUGGAUCUCCUAAUCAACGGAUUAAAUUAACAAAAUAUUAGUGUGGAAUUAUUGAUGAUUAAAAUAUUUUCUUUUUGGUAACUUAGGCAUUUAGAAUAAUUAAUUUUUGUUCUAUUUUUUAAUAUGCUCAUAAACCACAUCACUCAUGUAUAGACUAGUGAGUUCGAAUUUUGUGAGGCUCUUAGCUAUUCUUAUUUAAUUUUUCACAUUUUAAUUUAAUUUGACUCUUCUUUUAUAUCAAAAUAUAUGCUGUGCAUUUGUUGGACGUUGCCAAAAAGUGUCUUGCAUUAAAUAGGCUAUCAAAGCACAAGUUAUACGUAGCAUCAAAAUUUAUACGCCCGUACCAAACAUAAAAGCUUUACAUAACUUUGCAAUCGAAAUUUGCUGUACCUUUCCUGACAACAACAAAACUAAGGAACAAAGUGAACUUUUUUCAGAUAAAGGCACCAAGCCUUUCCCUUCGUUCAUUUUUCAUUUAAAAUAUAAUAAAAUUAAAAAUAUAAAAUAAUUAAAUUUUAAAAUUUAAGAUAUUAAUCAUUAAGCUCUCAACUAACUACAGUUGAUACAGGUCGGUAAAAAAUAAGUUGUACAUAGUGUACUAAGCUUUUCAAAAUCAUUUGCGUUAAUAUUACAACUACAGUGAGAAAAAAGGUAGAUUAAAGAAUUUGGCCUUCAAUCAAUCAUGAAGCAAUAGAAUAAAAGAAAGAAGACAAAUGUAGCAUGCCAUGUAAACAAAUAAUACUAGGUGUUAUAUUUAGUUUUCCAAAAGAGAAAUUAGAUCUUUUGACUGUAGAAGGAGAAACAAAGUCAAACUGUAAUAACUUGUACAACAUAAUAUAUAUUAUGUAUUUUUUUUUGUAUACAAUUAUCAUAUACUGUUAGAUAUUGUUUGGUUCGAGAAUAAGAGAGAAUAAGUUCUUGUUCCUUUUUUUGUUCUCAAAUAUUAUGUUUGGCAUUCGAAAAUAGUAUUUCUUAAAUUUUUGGAAUAAGUUGGUAUGAGGUUGAAAUUGUUUUUUCUGGAACAAGCUUGUUCCCAGGUGGGAACAAGGUUAUUUAAAGUUUAAAUUUAAUUUUAAUUAUAUUAUUAAAUUAUUAAUUAAUCUAAUUAAUAUAUUUAAAUUAUUAUUUAUUGUUUAAAUAAUAAAAUAAUUAAUUUAUUUAUUAUUUAUAAUUAAUUAUUAAUAAUUUAAUAUAUUUAUAUAUAAACUAAUAUUUAUAUCGAUCAAUCAUUAAUAUUUCUAUUAAUCUAAUUAAUUUUUUUACUAGUUAUCUAACUAAAAUAAUUUACUAACUAAUUAAAAAGUUAAAUUAUUUUUUAUAAUUAAUUAAUUAAUUAAUAUAUUUUUAUUACCUUAUAUACAAUAUUCAUAGCUAAUAAAUUUAUUAUUUUAUUAAAUAUUUUUAAGUAAUAUUUUGAUAUUAAUUAAUUAGAUACAAUAAUUUUAAUUUAAAAGUUAUAACUCUUAUUCCUUUUAUUCCAAUAUAAUCAUCCAAACACUAUUUAACUUAUUUCUAGAAACAACCCAAUUUUCAUCAAAACGCAAAAUUGGUCUAGUUCCUAUUUAUAUCUGAACUUAUAUCUAUCUCCGGAAUAAGUAGAUUUUACUUAUACCCGAAUCAAACACAGUCUUAGAGAUCUUUAAUCAAUUAUAACUUUCCGAAAGGUGAAGAGCAAAGGCAGAAGAAGCAAGAAAGGUAGCAUCUAGCUCAAUGGCUAGAGAAUAUAUAAUGCUACCAUCUUUUUUCCUUUUCUUUUUGGGGGGGCUUUGACUUAGUCCUUUUUUUUUUGGUUUGAACCCCUUGUAGAAAGAUAUUGCCUAAGAUGCCACAGCUUGCAUCUACUCCAAGCCUUUGUUCUCCUUUUCACUAUGAAAACUUAGCCAAUAAGGAAAAGAAUUGCACCAUCAAAUUAAAGUUGUAAAUUUCCAAUUUACUACGUAAAAAGAUUUGCAUCUACUCCAAGCCUUUUGUUCCUUGUAGCUACUCAAAACCUAGCCACCAAGUAAACAGAAAAAAAAAAAAAAAAAAGGGUAUCACUUUAGUUCUAUUUUAGCUGUUGGAAAAGAAUAAAAAAAGAGUUUCUUUAUCAACCCCCUAAUACACUGAAUGCUAAAGUAAAAGGUUCUAAAUUUUUCGUCGUCUUCGCAUCUACAGUAGUGUUUUAGUUUUCGCGGUCGGAAUGGUUUCGUCGGUCGUUCUCCGACUUUUAUAUCACUGUACUUCAUUCAAAAAUCAUGAAAAAUCUAUGACUAAUUAAUUUAAUCAGAUGCAACAGAGAAUUAAGGCAGUGUUUGGAUCGGAGAUAAGGGGAGGGAUAACCCUUUAUCCCCUUUAUACCCAAACGCAAAUUUUUUACUCGAGAAUAGUAAUUCUCGGUUACCUAAAAUAACUUAGUAUAACUAUCCCCACCAACACCUCCAUUUUCUAUAUAUAACUACAUACUAUUUUUCUUAUUCCAUAUUAGCUAUCCAAACGCUAUUUUUCUUUUUCUCAGGAACAACCAAAUUUUCAUCCAAACGUUAUUUUUCUUAUCUCCAUACUUAUACAUAUCCCUAUAAUAGCUAGUUCUUGCUUUUAUCUGAACCAAACGCUACCUAAGAAUACAAUGUCCUUUGCUGAAGACAAACGGGUAAUGACCGACUUUGGUAUCACUAUUCACUCUAAAAUCACGAAAAUCUAUGGCUAAAUUCAAUCAGAUGCAGCAGAUAAUUAAGAUGCAGCAGAUAAUUUAGCUGAAGACAAAGUGAUAUCAAUUUUGUUUCUUUAAAAUAACAGCUAAACUAUUUGUCAUCACUUGUGUCACUAUAGAUGCUGGUGAUCUCUUAGUGAGAACAAACAAAAGUUGCAGUAACCAGCAAGUAUUUUAUAAAGGUCCAUAUUGUAAGGGACAGGUGAAAAUGUACGCGCACCUUAAACUAAGGGUGCGUUUGGUUCGCAUUAUGAAAGAUUACUAGAAAUAAAAGAUAUCCGAGAAUCUUAUUCAUAUUCAUCCUAUUACUAAGAAUGUGGAAUUCCUGUGUUUGAUUCGCACGGUAAUAUUAAUUAGCCAUGUUAUUUAAUAUUGCAAAAAAUAUACAAUUUAUUUAUUUAUUUAUUUAAUUAAUUUUAGAUAAUGUUGCCAAAAAUUUCAACAUCUUUUUAAAAAAAAGGGAGAGAGAGUAUAAGUUAGAGAGAGAAAGCAUAAUUAAAAAAAUAGAAAGAAAAAUAUAAUCGAAAUUAGAGGGAGUGAGAGAGUUGAAAUUUUAGAAAGAGAGAGAGAAAGCUUAGUUUAGAGAGAGAAAAAAAAGUUGAAUUUUAGAGAGAAAAAUAAGUUUAGAGAGAGAUAUAAGGUUAGAGUGUAAAGAAAAAUAAUAUCAAUUAGCCGGCGGGUAGGAAGAAAGAAAGAGAUUAGACAUAUUAUGAUUACCCCAAUCCAUUAAUAUGAGGAUACCCGCCCUCCCUCAAGGGAAUGAGAUUAGUACUUUGGGGUGAAUCUUAUUCCCAAGUGAAUCCAAUAUUACCAACUAGAUUACUUAGUGCGUUUAGCCAAAUACCGUCAUAUUUUUUUAUUCCCAUUAAAUUACUAGGAAUCUUUAAAAGAUAGCGCGAACCAAACGCACCCUAAAGGUAAUUCGGAAACUUGGCACAAAACUACUUUUUUUGAACUUAAUCACCCAAGUGAGAACUUUUUCUGAUUUAAACAACUUCCGUACGAUUUAAUAUAUUUCCAAUUAAAAAUUACAUAACAUAAUCCUUCACUUUAUGCAAAAAUCAUAGUUAAAGGAGUUCAAAUGCUGAAAGAUAAAGAAAUAAAGCAUUAGAGGUUUUGUUUUCAAAUUACGCAUCCCCUUAUAAAAGAUAUUCUGAGGAGUUGUAAUGCUCUUCGUUCAACAAGUAGUUUCAAUCUCAAAUAUGGAAUCAUCUUUCAAAUUAUGAAGUGGGUAGGGGUGGUUUGAAUGCAAUUAAUGCUUAUUGUUUGUUUUCUGCAAGAGUAAUAGGAAAUAUUUGCUGCAUUCAUCAAUUAAAAUAGGAAAAACUUCAAAAACUCCCCGUGAUUUCACACUUUUUUAUUUUAGUAUCCUGUGGUUUAAAAUGUAUCAAAUUAGUACCCUGUGGUUUCUCACUUUAUCACUUUAGUAUCUUAUGAUUUAAAGUGUAUCAAGUUAGUACCCUGUGGUUUUGCACUUUAUCACCCUAGUACCCUGUGGUUUCACAUUUUAUCACUUUAGUACCCUAUGGUUUAAAAAACCACAGGGUACUAACUUGAUACAAAAUUAAAACCACAGGAUACUAAGGUGAUAAAGUGCAAAACCACAGAAUACUAACUUGAUACACUUUAAACCACAGGGUACUAAAGUGAUAAAGUGAGAAACCACAGGGUACUAACUUGAUACAUUUUAAACCACAGGGUACUAAAGUGAAAAAAUUGAAACCACAAGGGAGGUUUUUAAAGUUUUCCCAUUAAAAU
RNAcentral lists this long non-coding RNA (42551 nucleotides) under Ananas comosus (pineapple). RNAcentral describes it as "long non-coding RNA (ACOM_LNC004340)". Lineage: Eukaryota; Viridiplantae; Streptophyta; Magnoliopsida; Poales; Bromeliaceae. The record is from RNAcentral.